Molecule: ribosomal RNA, 458 nt
Filed under: uncultured bacterium
Lineage: Bacteria
Description: bacterial SSU rRNA
Rfam family: Bacterial small subunit ribosomal RNA
Source: RNAcentral
GAUGAACGCUGGCGGCGUGCCUAACACAUGCAAGUCGAACGGAUGCCUUUGGGCAUUAGUGGCGCACGGGUGAGUAACACGUGGUUGACCUACCCCAAAGUAGGGGAUAACGUUCCGAAAGGAAUGCUAAUACCCUAUAAGCUCCCGGAAUUUAGAAGCCUGGGAGAAAAGUUCUGGCGCUUUGGGAGGGGACUGCGGGCCAUCAGCUAGUUGGUGUGGUAACGGCGCACCAAGGCGACGACGGCUAGGGGACCUGAGAGGGUGGCCCCCCACACUGGAACUGAGACACGGUCCAGACUCCUACGGGAGGCAGCAGUGAGGAAUAUUGCACAAUGGGCGCAAGCCUGAUGCAGCGACGCCGCGUGGGUGAUGAAGGCUUUUCGGGGUCGUAAAGCCCUUUUCUAGGUGACGAGAACGGACGGUAGCCUAGGAAUAAGUGUCGGCUAACUACGUGCCAG